This 216-nucleotide ribosomal RNA is filed under the name Glomeromycotina sp. Its description in RNAcentral is "partial small subunit ribosomal RNA". The stretch from base 87 to 216 matches the Rfam family "Eukaryotic small subunit ribosomal RNA", at positions 733 to 864 of the family's 1831-position model. Lineage: Eukaryota; Fungi; Glomeromycota. The record is from RNAcentral.
GGGUCAGUAGGUUGGUCGUGCCACCGGUACGUACUGGUCUCACUGAUUCCUCCUUCCUGAAGAACCGUAAUGCCACUAAUUUGGUGUUGCGGGGAAACAGGACUGUUACUUUGAAAAAAUUAGAGUGUUUAAAGCAAGCUAACGCUUGAAUACAUUAGCAUGGAAUAAUGAAAUAGGACGAUCGAUCCUAUUUUGUUGGCUUCUAGGAUUGACGUA